AUUGAACGCUGGCGGCAUGCCUAACACAUGCAAGUCGAACGAGUCGCGGACGGGUGAGUACUGUCUGGGAAACUGCCUGAUGGAGGGGGAUACCUACUGGUAACGGUAGCUAAUACCGCCUACCAUCAGCUGUGCCCAGAUGGGAUUAGCUUGUGGGUGGGGUAACGGCUGACCAAGGCGACGAUCCCUAUCUGGUCUGAGAGGAUGACCAGCCACAAGGGGACGGAGAGACGGUCCAGACUCCUACGGGAGGCAGCAGUGGGGAAUAUUGGACAAUGGGCGCAAGCCUGAUGCAGCCAGGCCGAGUGUGUGAUGAAGGCCUUCGGGUUGUAAAGUACUUUCGGCAGGGAGGCGUUACCCGAAGAAGAAGCACCGGCUAACUCCGUGCCAGCAGCCGCGGUAAUAC
This 406-nucleotide ribosomal RNA is filed under the name uncultured bacterium. Its description in RNAcentral is "partial 16S ribosomal RNA". It matches the Rfam family "Bacterial small subunit ribosomal RNA", at positions 30 to 526 of the family's 1533-position model. The record is from RNAcentral.